CAGAAUCAUAUGCAUGGCACCAAGAGUGUCUGAAAAAAAUGUGCGCCAGGAUAUGGGGUGCCCUUCUCCCACUUUGCCCAGCUCAAGGGCACAGGGUACCCAGGACUCCAGAAGAACGCUCAAACAAAGAAACAAAAAGUCCCAGACUUACUUACAAAAGUAAGUAAGAUUGGUGGAAAAGAUAAACAUCUAAGACCUUUCUGGCUCGCUCCUCGUCUGUGUGGGUGGCUUCAGCUGGGGCACACUGGGGACAAGAGGCAGUGCUGUUCGUAGUAGUCAGCGAGACCGGCAUAACCUGGGACACAUGAUUGUUCUUGUUCCUGUGGCCUCUGGCUAUACUAGAUUGUUCAUUCAGCCAUCUAGAGGCCUUCCGAAGAGAAAUGAGACAUGAUUCGUGUUUGACACCUGUGGGAGGUGAUGCCGUCCAUACACGGUCCGUCACGGGAUGAGCUCCAGUUUCGUCGCCGUCGUCGUUGUGGUAGGGUCCAAACUGGACUUGGACUUUGGAUCCUUCCACCUUCUACUCCUCAACUGGAAGGGUUAUAGACGUGUGACCCCCAUGUCAAGCUUGAGCCCCAAUUUUUUAACCAAGAAGCUUUAAUUCAGCACAUAGGACAGGAAGAAAGGAUGGAGAGGCUCACUGACAAGUGUACUUUCAGUGUGAUCCGCUGGACUUGGUUUUGUCUUCGAUAGGGCCGUUGUUCUCCGGACAUCCCCAUCCCCGUGGGUCAGUUUGCUCCCUGGUGUGGCUACAGAGCAGUAAUCCUACCUCAGCCGCUUGUAUCUGCCAGCCCUGGCUGAGAAGGUACAUUUCCCUUUGGUGGGUGAAUAUUAAGAAGUCAGGUGUUCCGUGCAAAUCUCAGGCCAUUGUUCCAUAGCUGGCAGAGGCCUCCAGGAAGGAAGGCCUCCCACCUGAAUAUCGGCCCCGUGAGCCUUGAACUCGACAAGUCUCGAAUGCUUAGGAAGGUGACGUUAUUUUAAGGAACAGGUCAAAGGUUGCCCGGAUACAGACCUCCUGCAAGGAGCCGGUUUCUCUACUGGCCUGCAGCCAAUCUGUGCAGGGAAAGGAGC
This is a long non-coding RNA of Rattus norvegicus (Norway rat), 1071 nucleotides long. Lineage: Eukaryota; Metazoa; Chordata; Mammalia; Rodentia; Muridae. The record is from Ensembl.